UCCGCCGGGCCCCACCCAGCUCCAGCCCGCUGCCUGCGAGUGGUUCCCAGCUGCUGACCUAGCGGCUUCUGCCCUCUCCAGUGCGGGAACCCCGGUGUUGGCCCCUUAGGUUCCGGGGUCCCUCCCCGACGCACUGGGAAGAACUAUAUAGGGGUGACGGUGGAGAAGCUCUCCGAUUUGGUGGCCGCGUUUUCGGAGCACUAGACGGCCUGCUUUCUGUAUUAGGAUGUGAUUCCUCGAUCCCCAGCCGGUCGUACUAGAAGAAAGAGUUGCCGUGGUCUUGGUGUCUCUUCGCAGCAAUAGAACACUGGCUGAGAUAGCCACCCCUAAGGAGAAGGCACUUGGGUAGGUUCAGGAGAUAAAGAUGAUUGCCAAGAAGCCUACAACCACAGCUAAGAGGGCCCCGGGCCUGAGGGUUUCAAUGUUUAGCUCUGGCUGUCCUGGAACUCGCUCCUGAGGUCAUCAUACCUCUCAACAUUAUCAUUAAGACUUGAGCAAGUGGAUUUGAAGAUUCAGUUCUCCACAGGAGAUGAGAAUGAGUUCCUUCUCUGGGUAAUGACACCAGUCCCCUGCCCGGGACCCCGGUAAGGCUCCAGUGUGACCGUCAUUGUCUUCCCUUCCUCCCAGUCACACUGAAUCUCAGCAUUCAUCCUUCCAACUCCAUAUCAUCUAGCAUAACCAACACUGUUGGUAAUGGCAUAGAUCUCCAAGCUGAUGCUAAAGUGUUAAUUCCGUGAGUUUAUAGACAGAAAGGUCCUGGGUUCAAAUCCACUCUCUAUUUCUGUGGACUUCAUAAAUCACUUUGGGGGGAAAAGGGAGGGGGUGACUCGAGUUGCCGGUAUAAAAGAGUAGCCCGUGUGGGGACGUGGUAGACUUAGCGGGACUGUAAAAAGUUGUUUAGAAGCCUGCCUCCCGGUUCUUGGACAGCUGCCUGAACCCAGACAUCCCCCUUAUCUAAGCCAUAAAAUAAGGCAAAAGGAGACAUGCAUUACAUGUGGAAGUGUCCUGGGGGCCUUGUCCAUCUAGAAGAUAGCUUGGUCUCUAAGCCCUGGGUCAGAGGUUAGCAAGCACGUAUGCAUGAGAAACCCUGUGAGUAAAUCAAAGGAAAGAAAGGCCUGGGGUGUGGUCCGAAGGGGCUUGGCUGGAAAUUGCUUUUCUGAAGCCCUGGUUGGAGCGUGGAAAGUGCAGGAGGAACCCAAGAGGCCACUAUCAAAGGAGUGAUGCCCCAGGGGUGCUAUGUAGUCCUUCAGCUCCUGAGCCAGGGCGCCCUCUAGUGCCUUCCUGAUUGUCUACAUUUUUGCUUUGUUUAACCUGUCUUAUAUAGACCUAGGCUGGCC
This is a long non-coding RNA of Mesocricetus auratus (golden hamster), 1337 nucleotides long. RefSeq lists it as uncharacterized. The record is from RefSeq and is a predicted model, not a curated record. The transcript is spliced from 3 exons. NCBI's taxonomy places the organism in Eukaryota, Metazoa, Chordata, Mammalia, Rodentia, Cricetidae.